AGCCACUGACUAACGCACAUUGUGCUUCUGUAGACCCUCCACUGUGCGUGUGACAGCGGCUAA
Molecule: microRNA precursor, 63 nt
Filed under: Microcaecilia unicolor
Lineage: Eukaryota; Metazoa; Chordata; Amphibia; Gymnophiona; Siphonopidae
Description: Mun-Mir-210_pre stem-loop
Rfam family: mir-210 microRNA precursor family
Source: RNAcentral